Molecule: long non-coding RNA, 1192 nt
Filed under: Mus spicilegus (steppe mouse)
Lineage: Eukaryota; Metazoa; Chordata; Mammalia; Rodentia; Muridae
Description: lncRNA (ENSMSIG00000030351.1)
Source: RNAcentral
AUUCUUCUUCAAGAUUGUCCCUCGCCCUACCAAACCCUGCUUUAAAAACCAGCUUGUUUCUCCCUGCUUCUAAAUAUGCAAGCAUCCUGGAUGAGCAUUCUCAGUGUUGAAGAUUAGAUUUGAUAGAUAGUUGAAACCACACAAGAAAUGAUGACAUGGGAAACUGGUACCCGGAUUCUCUAGCAAACCCAUGAGCCACACUGAUAUAAGCAAAUAAGUGGAUGAAUGGGAGAAGCCAGAAAGCCUUCCUAGGAAUUAUAUUGAUGAAGAGUAAGAAUGCAAAUGCAAAGAUGGAUUAGAAAAUCAUCUGUGGAUGCCCAUGGUACAGAAUGAAUGUGGGAUAAGGAAAGUUUUGUUCACUUAGUCUGGAAGUAUCUCCCAGAAAAUGCUUGUUUACAAAGGGAAAUUUGCUACUGUGACAAUGAUGGAAGCUGGUAAACCUUCUACAGGUUAACAGUGUUAACUAAACUUGUAACGCACAUGGGGACAAACCCAUAUGGCUUCACCUCCCAUAGUACAUCAAGGGGACACAACUCAAUCUCCAGUCUUCUUACAGCACUGGUGUAGCCAUAAGGAAGCAUUCGAUAACCCCACAGUAAGGAACAUUCUACAGGAAAACUGGCUUGUGCUCUUCUUGGGGGUCAAGGUCAAGAGGACAAAGGAGAGUCAAAGAGCCGGUUAAAAAGAGGUGGUUUUUAAAGUUACAGUGAUGAGGAAGUGUGACCUAUGAGUCUGAGUCGGGUCCUACCCUGGGAAAGAAAACCCAUGAAGACUUGGACCAUUGAUGACUUGUUCUCUGUCAGAUGCCAGUCAUCUCAGGGUAAUCUGUCUCAAAAUCCUUUGGAAAGCAAGAGCUACAGAUGCACCAGGCUCACAGAGGAUGUCAGGAAUCCUGCUGGAACGCAUCUGAAGGUCAUGUUAAAGGCUUCCUGGCAUAGCUGGGCUGCAGGGAGCUUGGGUAUGUUUUGGAUGGGAUGAAGCCAUGUCCUGUUCCUUGACUCAAUCUUCUCAUUCAUUCAUUCCCUCUAACCAACCUCUAUGUAAAACACCCCAAAAUAUCGAUCACUGGGAUCCUGGAGUUUGGACUCAUAAUAUCUGUUGAAGAAUGACCUCUGCUGACUUAGCUUCCCAGUAGUGCCUUUAAACAGACUGGCCCAAAAAAUAGGAAAAUAAAAUCAAAUCAUCAAAAACA